UUCUUUCACCAGUUGUCGAAACGUUCCACAUAAAAAGCAAAAUCCACGAAGCUGUGACAAUACACCAGCCAAGCCUUACGGUUAGGGCAAUUUAUAACGGCAUUUAGACAAGCUAUUAGUUUUCCAAAAUCCUUCCACUUGUUUACGGUACGUCAGCUCAAUUAAGUAGCGCAACCGUGGCUAUCAAAAAAUGGUGCUUUUAUGAUAUUUGUGUAUCAAGCCAACUUUUGUCUUAUUUCCAUUCAUAUUUGUAUUUCUUCGAUUCAGGAUCAGUGUACUAGCAACCUUCAAGCAUUAGUCAAAUUUUAACAACUCUGUCUGUUCUUGGUCUUUGAGGUAGAUUUAGUGGCAUUUUGACAGUCCAAGAGCUCAAGGGAGCCUAAAGAUUUACAAGUUGGUGCUACUGUUGACACUUUUCUCGCAUAAAUAAUGGUUUGGAACGUUAAAUGGACCGUGGUCAUGCAACCGAAGACCUUAAAAAAAGGAAACAAUUCCAAGAAGGCUAACCAUUUUUCCAUCAUGAGAGAGUGUUCCCAGCCUCGGAGAACCAAAGAGGGCGUCUCAGCUAGGUUCUCCAGGGAAAUAUCUUGAAUCCUUUUGUGGACAGCCGAAAACCCAACGCAAAGGCGAAAACCGACUAACCAAAAUAGAGCCAUCAUACGGGUGAGUAAAAAAAAAAGUUCCGACCUACAAUACGAGUGCUCAGCUCUCGCCUUAUCCAAUUUCGUGAUGUUACCUGGCUUUUCAGUGCCUCAUUCAACUCCCUUCUUCGGCUUUUUGGGUUGCCCUGUGUUGCAAAUAAAAUUGUCUUUGAACGAGUUCCAGCACCUACGAAGUUGUUUGGAAAUGCAUUUCCUCUAAGGAACACAUGGUGUUUUGCCUGUUCAUGGUUCGUCAGUCAUCGAUUUUCGUCGAAUCAUCAAUGCAAACCCUCGUAAGGGUACGUUCCAAUUAGACUAUGACGCGCCUUUUUGGGGUCCAACUUGAGGGAACGCCCAGUCACUAUUCUAAGUACCUUACCAUGUCAAGAGCUGUGAAUAGGUGGCCGCCUUAUAACGAUCCCUAAUUUUCAUGGAAGCCUGGUAGAGUGUAUUAUAUAAAAGAUACAGAUAUGGAGGCCUUCAGUCAUCCUGUCUGGGUAUAGAUAUCUGGAGGAUCUAGAGUUGGGAUCACCUUCGCUCUGUCGGACAUUGUCUUCAUUUAUCUUUUUUGUCCCGGGAGGCACUAACCCUGCUUGGCCUGUUGUGUGUAAACACACAACACAACACAAACACACACACGCACACACGAUCCAGAAUGCUUCCAGCCACUAACAAAGAUGAAUUUGUUAUGAAAGAGAUUUCUGAUCAAAGGCAGAUCCAAGACGGUAAACAAUAGCUUCUAGGAGACUCAAAUACAAUGCGAAAAAAGGGGCUUCCUUGAUAGCUCUACGUAGAAU
Molecule: long non-coding RNA, 1438 nt
Organism: Tigriopus californicus
Lineage: Eukaryota; Metazoa; Arthropoda; Copepoda; Harpacticoida; Harpacticidae
Exons: 2
Source: RefSeq, a predicted model, not a curated record